UAACCAUUCUAUACGUGGCACCGAUUUAGUCCCGCCGAGUACGGCAGUGGAACAGCUUCCGUUCUUCAAUCGCAACCGUUGAUCCAAUUAAAACUAAUCCGACUGCUUGUGUUGUUACGUAUGUUUUAGUCGUGGCCAUUGUUUCAAUCAACGGCUACGGAUUAUAUUGGGAAGGAAAAGUAUACAUUGUCAGUGACUUGACAAGUUGCAGCCUACAUAGUAGGUGUAGAGGUGUAGAGAGAAAGUUUUAGAGUUCUUAUUGACUACUUCGAUAAUGGUGAGAAUCGGUUGUCAUUCUCUCCUUCUACACUACAUCUGCCCUCCUCUAAAGUCCCUCUUUAACUCGUUCAAAAUAAACUAUAUUUGGCCCCCUUUUUCUUCAUUUCAGUCCUUCCCCGAUAUUUCUUUCCUAUUAUUUUGUUGUUGGUGGAGACAAUUGCACUACGGGCAAGCUCCUCUGGAACUUUGGGAGAUAUUUCCAGUGAAAACUAGGGAGCUUUGAUCGCACCCAGGCACAAUGAUUUUUUAUUACUAGAUGUCUUAUGAUACAUUUUGUUUACAAUUUUUUUUUCCGUAUCUCUGUUUUGAUUACGGCUGAGGCAUUGCUUGCCCCAAUAUACCAAGUACGAAAUUUGAUUAGGGUUAAGCCAUUGUUUUUCCCCAAUAUGCGCCUUUUGCUUGCCAUCAUUCAUAUUCUUUGCCAUGAUUCCCUUAUGUGACUUAAUUAAUAACCAGCAAGAAUAAUUCUCUCAUUACUUUCUUUUUGUCUUCUAUUUCAUUAUUAGGAAACUCUAUAAUCGCGGCUUGAAUAAAUUUGUAAAUGUUAUUCUGUUCUUUAUUGAUUAAUUGAUACAUCACUCGUAUUUUGAUUUGAUUAUCCAACCCAGCAACCCCACAGUCGGAGUAAGUAUCUCAUUAAAACUUUUUCUUGACAUAUUCAUUUCCAAUAUUUUUCAAGACAAAUUGAUCCAACAUUCUUUACUAAUUAGUUGCAUUGUGGUAUCGGUUACUCCAUUGUAGUUUAAGAUUGGUAUUAUAUAUAUUAAAUAAUUGGUUUCUGACAAUUUUUUUUUAUUUUGUUGUUGCUACUCGAAAUUUAUAUACAGGAACCACUAUAAUGCAUUUUUUUUUUACUUUGGUGUAUUUUUUUCUAUUUUUGACACUUGGAUAGAUAUAAUCUAAAAAAAUUUUAUACGACGGUGUACAUUGUAGGUAUUUAGAAUAUUCUACAAUUUUUCAAGAAAUUCUGAAUAGUUUACAAAGCCAAAAACAGAGUUCAAACUGUCAAAUUUUACCCGCAUACACAAAAAAAUAGGCCCGCGUGCAACAGAUAGUUUAGACUCUGUUUCAGUACCGUAAUUUAUUCAGAAUUUCUUGAAAAUUUGUAUGAUGUUCUAGAUAGCUAUAAUGUACACCAUCAUAUAAAAAAAAAAUUGGAUUAUAACUAUUUAGGUGUCAAAAUAGAAAAAUAAUGCACUGGUAUUGCAAAAAAAUGAUCCGUUAUAAUCGCUCCCUAUAUAUAUAUAUAUAUAUAUCUUAGUGGUUUUUUAUAACAAUAAUAUUAAUGAUGAAGUACAAGAUUCGAGAAGAAGUAGUGUGUUGCAUAUUGAUAUAUAGUUACUUGUAUGAAACAAAUGACAUUUGAAGUCUUUGUAAUUGGUUUUAGUUUGAGUGGAUUAUUUUGGUUGUGUAGAUAAUUGUAUUCUAUUUCAAGUAAUUUUUUUGUAUUGGUACAAAUAUUAUGUUCAAUUUAUUAAGUGUGCUUUUUGUGUUGUGUAGAAAACUAUAUAGGUCACUGAAAAUGAGGAAAAAAUAUGGCGGGGUUUCGAAGAAGGUCUCUGAAACCAAGAGUAAUGAGAAGAUGGAAAAACUAAUUUUGGAGGGUGUACGCUCUAAAUAUCCACGGGUUAUUAGCGAGCUGGAAAAUGACAUAAUCCUAUCAGCCACGUGGAAGCCACCUACCCGGAGCUGCUGUUACGAGUCUCUACCUCUUUAGCUCGAGGUAGCCAAAAGUUUAGUAAGGAUACUCAAAGGCAUUGGGUCAGCCGUGUGGACACCACGAGCUGAGACUACAUCAAGCUCGAGGUACGACCUGGAGCUGACACCUCCGUCCCUUUAUAAAGUCAAUCACGCAAUGUAAACGUGCGCAUAUUAGACAUCGCGUGUCUACUCCAUUCCUGAAUUCUCAGACACACAGCAUAAACGUGCGUGCUCAGACACUCCUCGACUGGUUUGGGUCAUAUGGCCCAUUAUCCCCCUUACCUAUUGAUUAGACCACACUUCAUUGUCAAGUUUUAGGAAUUAAUCAUGAAUGUCACAGAAGUGACAUGAUGGGUAAGAAGGUCAUGUGAUGACCCCUUUUUCCAACACUCAGGUGUCCUCUCCCUAUAAAUAUGGAGACCCUGGACAUUGCAAAUGGUUGACUUCUAAUUUGUAAAGAAACACCCUGUAAGGAAUAUCAGAGAUAUAUCAAUAAUAUUGACUGAUGGACUAGAGAGAUUUUAACCUCCGAA
Long non-coding RNA from Humulus lupulus (European hop), 2513 nucleotides. RefSeq lists it as uncharacterized. The record is from RefSeq and is a predicted model, not a curated record. The transcript is spliced from 2 exons. Lineage: Eukaryota; Viridiplantae; Streptophyta; Magnoliopsida; Rosales; Cannabaceae.